This 461-nucleotide ribosomal RNA is filed under the name uncultured bacterium. RNAcentral's name for it is "partial 16S ribosomal RNA". It matches the Rfam family "Bacterial small subunit ribosomal RNA", at positions 338 to 795 of the family's 1533-position model. The record is from RNAcentral.
CCUACGGGAGGCAGCAGUGAGGAAUAUUGGUCAAUGGGCGAGAGCCUGAACCAGCCAAGUCGCGUGAAGGAUGACGGCCCUACGGGUUGUAAACUUCUUUUGUCAGGGAGCAAUUGGGUCCACGCGUGGGCUUAGCAAGAGUACCUGAAGAAAAAGCAUCGGCUAACUCCGUGCCAGCAGCCGCGGUAAUACGGAGGGUGCGAGCGUUAAUCGGAAUUACUGGGCGUAAAGGGCUCGUAGGCGGUAUGUCAAGUCAAGGGUGAAAUCCCCGCGCUCAACGUGGGAACUGCCUUUGAAACUGGCAAACUGGAGUGUGUGAGAGGAUAGUGGAAUUCCAGGUGUAGGAGUGAAAUCCGUAGAUAUCUGGAGGAACAUCAGUGGCGAAGGCGACUAUCUGGCACAUAACUGACGCUGAGGAGCGAAAGCGUGGGUAGCAAACAGGAUUAGAUACCCCAGUAGUC